GGCCACUGCUAUCGGAGUUCGAUUAAGCCAUGCGAGUCGAGAGGUGCAAGACCUCGGCAUACUGCUCAGUAACACGUGGACAAUCUAACCUAUGGAAGGGGAUAACCCCGGGAAACUGGGGAUAAUACCCUAUAGACUAUGGAUGCUGGAAUGCUUUGUAGUCGAAAGGUCCGCCGCCAUAGGAUGGGUCUGCGGCCGAUUAGGUUGUUGUUGGGGUAACGGCCCAACAAGCCUGUAAUCGGUACGGGUUGUGGGAGCAAGAGCCCGGAGAUGGAUUCUGAGACACGAAUCCAGGCCCUACGGGGCGCAGCAGGCGCGAAAACUUUGCAAUGCGGGAAACCGUGACAGGGGAACUCCGAGUGCCCGUAAAAUCGGGCUGUCCAUCAGUUUAAAUAACUGGUGAAGAAAGGGCCGGGCAAGACCGGUGCCAGCCGCCGCGGUAAUACCGGCGGCUCGAGUGGUGGCCACUAUUACUGGGCUUAAAGCGUUCGUAGCUGGUUUGUUAAGUCUCUGGGGAAAUCUUCCGGCUCAACCGGAAGGCGUCUCAGGGAUACUGGCAGACUAGGGACCGGGAGAGGUGAGGGGUACUCCAGGGGUAGGAGUGAAAUCCUGUAAUCCUUGGGGGACCACCUGUGGCGAAGGCGCCUCACCAGAACGGCUCCGACAGUGAGGGACGAAAGCUGGGGGAGCAAACCGGAUUAGAUACCCGGGUAGUCCCAGCUGUAAACGAUGCGCGUUAGGUGUAUCGGUGACCACGAGUUACCGAGGUGCCGAAGAGAAAUCGUGAAACGUGCCGCCUGGGAAGUACGGUCGCAAGGCUGAAACUUAA
This 829-nucleotide ribosomal RNA is filed under the name archaeon enrichment culture clone B18_3132. Its description in RNAcentral is "bacterial SSU rRNA". It matches the Rfam family "Archaeal small subunit ribosomal RNA", at positions 22 to 859 of the family's 1478-position model. The record is from RNAcentral. RNAcentral also lists the same sequence under 1 other name.